AGAGUUUGAUCCUGGCUCAGAUUGAACGCUGGCGGCAUGCUUUACACAUGCAAGUCGAACGGUAACGCGGGGGCAACCCUGGCGACGAGUGGCGAACGGGUGAGUAAUACAUCGGAACAUGUCCUGGAGUGGGGGAUAGCUCGGCGAAAGCCGGAUUAAUACCGCAUACGCUCUGAGGAGGAAAGCGGGGGACUCGCAAGGGCCUCGCGCUGCAGGAGUGGCCGAUGUCGGAUUAGCUAGUUGGUGAGGUAAAGGCUCACCAAGGCGACGAUCCGUAGCUGGUCUGAGAGGAUGAUCAGCCACACUGGGACUGAGACACGGCCCAGACUCCUACGGGAGGCAGCAGUGGGGAAUUGUUCGCAAUGGGCGCAAGCCUGACGACGCAACGCCGCGUGGAGGAUGAAGAUUUUCGGAUCGUAAACUCCUGUCGAAUGGGACGAAAAGGUCGCGGUCUAAUAUCCCGUGAUCCUGACGGUACCGUUAAAGGAAACCCCGGCUAACUCCGUGCCAGCAGCCGCGGUAAUACGGGGGGGGUAAGCGUUGUUCGGAAUUACUGGGCGUAAAGGGCUCGUAGGCGGCCAACUAAGUCAGACGUGAAAUCCCUCAGCUUAACUGGGGAACUGCGUCUGAUACUGGAUGGCUUGGAUUCGGGAGAGGAAUGCGGAAUUCCAGGUGUAGCGGUGAAAUGCGUAGAUAUCUGGAGGAACACC
Molecule: ribosomal RNA, 710 nt
Filed under: uncultured bacterium
Lineage: Bacteria
Description: bacterial SSU rRNA
Rfam family: Bacterial small subunit ribosomal RNA
Source: RNAcentral